RNAcentral lists this ribosomal RNA (493 nucleotides) under uncultured bacterium. Its description in RNAcentral is "partial 16S ribosomal RNA". It matches the Rfam family "Bacterial small subunit ribosomal RNA", at positions 29 to 507 of the family's 1533-position model. The record is from RNAcentral.
ACGAACGCUGGCGGCGUGCUUAACCCAUGCCAGUCGAACGGAAAGGCCUGCUUUCCCUUGUGGAUUGCGGGUACUCGAGUGGCGAACGGGUGAGUAACACGUGAGUGAUCUGCCCCCAACUUGGGUAUAAGCCUGGGAAACUGGGUCUAAUUCCCGAUAGGACUGCAGGGUGGUGCCUGUGGUGGAAAACGAUUUUCUAGUGGUUGGGGAUGAGCUCGCGGCCUAUCAGCUUGUUGGUGGGGUAAUGGCCUACCAAGGCGGCGACGGGUAGCCGGCCUGAGAGGGUGGACGGCCACAUUGGGACUGAGAGACGGCCCAGACUCCUACGGGAGGCAGCAGUGGGGAAUAUUGCACAAUGGGCGGAAGCCUGAUGCAGCGACGCCGCGUGGGGGAUGACGGCCUUCGGGUUGUAAACUCCUUUCGACCGCGAGGAAGCCACCUGGUUGGAAGGGUGGUGACGGUAGUGGUAGAAGAAGCACCGGCUAACUACGUG